RNAcentral lists this unclassified non-coding RNA (263 nucleotides) under Hevea brasiliensis (rubber tree). Lineage: Eukaryota; Viridiplantae; Streptophyta; Magnoliopsida; Malpighiales; Euphorbiaceae. The record is from RNAcentral.
CAACAAAGUAUUUAUAAAAGGCAAAAAUUCGAUCGAACUUUGGGAAAUUUGAAUUCAUAUGCCCCUUUUCGACGCAGAGAUGGGAAAUCCCUGAAAAGGGGAGAAAGGAAACGGCGAUGGUGAUGGGUUGUCGCUUCGCCGCAUGCUCUGUGGCUGUCAGAGUCGUGGCCCUCUUUCUGGGAUGAUUUCGUGGAUGGAGUGAGCUUUGCUGUGUAUUUCUGGAUUUGCGUUUGGUCACGAAGAAGAUAAACAUAGGGAUCAAG